UGGGGAAUAUUGGACAAUGGGCGCAAGCCUGAUCCAGCCAUGCCGCGUGAGUGGUGACGGCCCUAGGGUUGUAAAGCUCUUUCACCGGUGAAGAUAAUGACGGUAACCGGAGAAGAAGCCCCGGCUAACUUCGUGCCAGCAGCCGCGGUAAUACGAAGGGGGCUAGCGUUGUUCGGAUUUACUGGGCGUAAAGCGCACGUAGGCGGACUUUUAAGUCAGGGGUGAAAUCCCGGGGCUCAACCCCGGAACUGCCUUUGAUACUGGAAGUCUUGAGUAUGGUAGAGGUGAGUGGAAUUCCGGGUGUAGAGGUGAAAUUCGUAGAUAUUCGGAGGAACACCAGUGGCGAAGGCGGCUCACUGGACCGUUACUGACGCUGAGGUGCGAAAGCGUGGGGAGCAAACAGG
Molecule: ribosomal RNA, 404 nt
Filed under: Actinomycetes bacterium
Lineage: Bacteria; Bacillati; Actinomycetota; Actinomycetes
Description: Actinobacteria bacterium partial 16S ribosomal RNA
Rfam family: Bacterial small subunit ribosomal RNA
Source: RNAcentral